RNAcentral lists this ribosomal RNA (891 nucleotides) under Triticum aestivum (bread wheat). RNAcentral's name for it is "partial small subunit ribosomal RNA". The record is from RNAcentral. Lineage: Eukaryota; Viridiplantae; Streptophyta; Magnoliopsida; Poales; Poaceae.
AUGGCCAGCGACGAGGAGACCAGCCGGGUGGUUCGUGCACUCGUGGAGAAGCACCUCGAGUCCGUGGUGAGCCUGAGGGCCUUCAAGGAGCCCUCCGAACCACAGCUGGGAGACGAGGGGAACCAGGACAGCGACGAGGAGCUCAUGGGAGAGGAGGGGGAGGAGAAGAAGGAGGAGGGGGAGAGCAGCGCCCCCAAAAAAGAGGCCCUGACGCCGGUGUGCUAUGGCACAGGAAGCAUCAUCCACUCCUGCGACCGAUUCGCCCUGGUGUUCUCCGUCGCCCACACCUUCGCCCCGUUCCGUUCGAGGCAACCUGGGGCGCUGGUUGCCGAGGACACCACGCUCCUCGUCGAGUUCUCGGAUGGGCAGAUCCGUCCCGGCCAUUUUCGAGCCAUAGGGUGGAGCCAUGACAUGUCACUCAUCAUGGUGCUUACCAACACGAGGUACCGGCCAGUCAAAUUCAUCGACCACAGCUGCCCUGCCAUGGGGUUCUCCGCUCAUGAAAGGGAGGCGCGUGUGUACAGCAUCUGCACCUACCCCGCCGAGCGACGCAACGCCCUGAUGGGCACCGCGUUGUCCGGCAAGAUAUGUGGACCUCUGAGGCGUGGGCGAAACGUUGAUAAAGUGUUUGAGCCAGAGCUAAGGAUGUGCGAAUUUGUCAUGGGUGGAGCGAGCGGCUGCUCUGGUGCUCCUCUCUUCACGGCAACUCGCCAUGUCAUGGGGAUGUGGCUGUCUCAAGUGGGGGAGUGCAAGUUUGCAGUGCUUGUUCACUCCAUAUGUGAAUGGCUUCGCACGACCUACAGAUUUCAAGAGACAAGCAUGAAGCGUCUGGUACCCAGGUUGGCAUCGCUAUACUUAGAGCAUCUGAGGCGAGUCGAUCCACAGGAAUGA